CUCGGCCACAGUCAUCUCCGCGACGUCCCCACCGGCGCCAAAUCCUAGCCGUACGGCUCGGCUGCCGGAGCUGCUCCCAGGAAUCCUCUUUGCCGACUUCACCCCAUGGUGCUCGUACUGCGUCACCCCGACGUCCUCUUCUUCCACCUCCAACCUCCUUCCUCUGCUCUACGGUGGUGUGGUGAUGUUGCUGCUGCAUGGGCUGCCGUGGCCUGGCUCGGCUGGCCCCUCCUCUCCUUAAACUACUUCGAUCAGGAACAUAAACAACUUCAGAAACUCGCGGCAUUGGUCCUUGCUGAGGAGACAAUGAUGGAGAGAGCUGCAAUGGCUCUCAUGAUGGUGACGAUGGCCACAACGACGAGAGGGCGUCAAUAACUGGAGCACCGUAGCUUGGACCAUCACCAUAAGGGUUGAAGUUUGACACACUGAAGCAAACUAGGUUUCUGCGACAAGAACCAGUAAAUGACCGGAGAUUCAAAAUGAUCAAGGAAGGAAUGGUUAUUCCUACAUCGACGUCAUAGCAACACAAUCAGAUAAGACAGAUCCUUAGUGUUCAGAAAUUAGUAGUGGUCAAAGCUAAUGUUUUCUCAGUUUGGAAGUUUUAUCUUUUCAUGUUAUCUUGUUAAUCUUUUGUGGCGCAAAAGAUAUAUCUGGGAACAACUAUGCUCGAUUCAAGGGAGCCUCAAGGCCAUGCCGGAACUGCUUACUACCUUUUUUUAUGACCACCUACAUAUAUGUUGGAAAAAACCCUCCUGCAUUGUUCUCUACUAUGUCACGAUAAGUUGCACCUUGGAGUUAUGUUUUCUGCAGUUGUAAUCCCUAUCUUCUA
Long non-coding RNA from Lolium perenne, 829 nucleotides. RefSeq lists it as uncharacterized. The record is from RefSeq and is a predicted model, not a curated record. NCBI's taxonomy places the organism in Eukaryota, Viridiplantae, Streptophyta, Magnoliopsida, Poales, Poaceae.